GGUGCUAUGGUCUAGGAGCAGGACGCCACGUUGUGGAUGCACAGUUAACAAAUCCAUUGGCUUCUUGGCCUUUGGAAAAGGAGACUGUUAAACCAACUUCCGUGUCAGCCCCGGUGCGAAUCCGGGUAGCGCCA
Paecilomyces variotii is the source of this 134-nucleotide non-coding RNA. The record is from the annotation of a RefSeq genome assembly. NCBI's taxonomy places the organism in Eukaryota, Fungi, Ascomycota, Eurotiomycetes, Eurotiales, Thermoascaceae.